UUAAUGCCACCGUCCCGUAUUACAUGUCGCUUUGACUUUUACUUAUAACGUUUGAUCAUUCGUUUUAUUUGAAAAAUUAGGGCAAAUAUAAAAAAUGAUAAGUUAUAUUUAAAGUAUUUUUGAUAAUAAAAAAGUCAAACAAAAUAGAUAAUAAUUCCAAAUUUUUUGAAUAAGACGAAUGGACAAACAUUAAAAAAAACUCAAAGCAACAAGUAAUAUGGGAUGGAGGU
Molecule: unclassified non-coding RNA, 230 nt
Filed under: Oryza sativa (Asian cultivated rice)
Lineage: Eukaryota; Viridiplantae; Streptophyta; Magnoliopsida; Poales; Poaceae
Description: partial microRNA MIR431a-1 precursor
Source: RNAcentral